RNAcentral lists this transfer RNA (67 nucleotides) under Propsilocerus taihuensis. RNAcentral describes it as "tRNA-Phe". It matches the Rfam family "tRNA". From Rfam's summary of the family: Transfer RNA (tRNA) molecules are approximately 80 nucleotides in length. Their secondary structure includes four short double-helical elements and three loops (D, anti-codon, and T loops). Further hydrogen bonds mediate the characteristic L-shaped molecular structure. tRNAs have two regions of fundamental functional importance: the anti-codon, which is responsible for specific mRNA codon recognition, and the 3' end, to which the tRNAs corresponding amino acid is attached (by aminoacyl-tRNA synthetases). tRNAs cope with the degeneracy of the genetic code in two manners: having more than one tRNA (with a specific anti-codon) for a particular amino acid; and 'wobble' base-pairing, i.e. permitting non-standard base-pairing at the 3rd anti-codon position. Lineage: Eukaryota; Metazoa; Arthropoda; Insecta; Diptera; Chironomidae. The record is from RNAcentral.
AUUCAAAUAGCUUAUAAAUUAGAGCGUUACACUGAAGAUGUAAAAGAAAUUUUUGAAUUUUUGAAUA